RNAcentral lists this ribosomal RNA (253 nucleotides) under uncultured bacterium. RNAcentral's name for it is "partial 16S ribosomal RNA". It matches the Rfam family "Bacterial small subunit ribosomal RNA", at positions 524 to 776 of the family's 1533-position model. The record is from RNAcentral.
UACGUAGGGUGCAAGCGUUGUCCGGAAUUAUUGGGCGUAAAGAGCUCGUAGGCGGUUUGUUGCGUCGGCUGUGAAAUCCCGAGGCUCAACCUCGGGUCUGCAGUCGAUACGAGCAAACUAGAGUGUUGCAGGGGAGACUGGAAUUCCUGGUGUAGCGGUGAAGUGCGCAGACAUCAGGAGGAACACCGGUGGCGAAGGCGGGUCUCUGGGCAGCAACUGACGCUGAGGAGCGAAAGCGUGGGGAGCGAACAGG